UAUUGCACAAUGGGCGCAAGCCUGAUGCAGCCAUGCCGCGUGUAUGAAGAAGGCCUUCGGGUUGUAAAGUACUUUCAGCGGGGAGGAAGGUGUUGUGGUUAAUAACCACAGCAAUUGACGUUACCCGCAGAAGAAGCACCGGCUAACUCCGUGCCAGCAGCCGCGGUAAUACGGAGGGUGCAAGCGUUAAUCGGAAUUACUGGGCGUAAAGCGCACGCAGGCGGUCUGUCAAGUCGGAUGUGAAAUCCCCGGGCUCAACCUGGGAACUGCAUUCGAAACUGGCAGGCUAGAGUCUUGUAGAGGGGGGUAGAAUUCCAGGUGUAGCGGUGAAAUGCGUAGAGAUCUGGAGGAAUACCGGUGGCGAAGGCGGCCCCCUGGACAAAGACUGACGCUCAGGUGCGAAAGCGUGGGGAGCAAACAGGAUGAGAUACCCUGGUAGUCCACGCCGUAAACGAUGUCGAUUUGGAGGUUGUGCCCUUGAGGCGUGGCUUCCGGAGCUAACGCGUUAAAUCGACCGCCUGGGGAGUACGGCCGCAAGGUUAAAACUCAAAUGAAUUGACGGGGGCCCGCACAAGCGGUGGAGCAUGUGGUUUAAUUCGAUGCAACGCGAAGAACCUUACCUGGUCUUGACAUCCACAGAACUUUCCAGAGAUGGAUUGGUGCCUUCGGGAACUGUGAGACAGGUGCUGCAUGGCUGUCGUCAGCUCGUGUUGUGAAAUGUUGGGUUAAGUCCCGCAACGAGCGCAACCCUUAUCCUUUGUUGCCAGCGGUUAGGCCGGGAACUCAAAGGAGACUGCCAGUGAUAAACUGGAGGAAGGUGGGGAUGACGUCAAGUCAUCAUGGCCCUUACGACCAGGGCUACACACGUGCUACAAUGGCGCAUACAAAGAGAAGCGACCUCGCGAGAGCAAGCGGACCUCAUAAAGUGCGUCGUAGUCCGGAUUGGAGUCUGCAACUCGACUCCAUGAAGUCGGAAUCGCUAGUAAUCGUAGAUCAGAAUGCUACGGUGAAUACGUUCCCGGGCCUUGUACACACCGCCCGUCACACCAUGGGAGUGGGUUGCAAAAGAAGUAGGUAGCUUAACCUUCGGGAGGGC
This 1096-nucleotide ribosomal RNA is filed under the name Enterobacter cloacae. Its description in RNAcentral is "bacterial SSU rRNA". It matches the Rfam family "Bacterial small subunit ribosomal RNA", at positions 362 to 1451 of the family's 1533-position model. Lineage: Bacteria; Pseudomonadati; Pseudomonadota; Gammaproteobacteria; Enterobacterales; Enterobacteriaceae. The record is from RNAcentral.